Talpa occidentalis (Iberian mole) is the source of this 132-nucleotide small nucleolar RNA. RefSeq annotates it as small nucleolar RNA SNORA31. The record is from RefSeq and is a predicted model, not a curated record. Lineage: Eukaryota; Metazoa; Chordata; Mammalia; Eulipotyphla; Talpidae. The transcript has a single exon.
GGCUGAUAUUUGACAGACUUGGAGCAGUUACUGUCUGCUGCCAAAUUUUCCAGGACAAAAGCAAGAAAAAGUGUCCUCAUACUUUCUGUCUGCCUGAUUGUGGCAGGCAAGAUUGAAUGGGGGAAUACAGGG